Long non-coding RNA from Bombus huntii, 399 nucleotides. RefSeq lists it as uncharacterized. The record is from RefSeq and is a predicted model, not a curated record. The transcript has 2 exons. NCBI's taxonomy places the organism in Eukaryota, Metazoa, Arthropoda, Insecta, Hymenoptera, Apidae.
GUCGAAUCUGUGUAAGAUAUUUUUGUAUUCGGAAGUUUCCAACAUAAAGGUAUAUUGAUCGAAAAUUCAGGUAAAUAUUACGCUAAGGGUAAUUCUAGUUGUCAUAUAUACGGUUAUAGGCUAUACCGAUUUGUUUUCCUUUGUAUAAAUUGUAAAAAAAAUAAAAAUUGUAAAAAAAUGUGGUGCAGCACAGGCGAAAUGAACUGUGACGAAUAACAACAAGCAGUAGCAGAAGGGUGAAGUAAAGAAGAACAGGAAGAAGAAGCACGUGAAUAUGUCAGAUAUGUAAAACCAUUGUUGUAGGUUAGACGCGUGAAAUUUGAAACAAGUAAGAAAGGAACAAAAAGAGAGAAGAAAUUGAGGAGACUAAAGAACAAAUAAAGAUACAUUUAGGAGAUA